This 82-nucleotide small RNA is filed under the name Marmota monax (woodchuck). Lineage: Eukaryota; Metazoa; Chordata; Mammalia; Rodentia; Sciuridae. The record is from RNAcentral.
GCCAGGCAUGGUGGCGCAUGCCUAUAAUCCCAGCUACUUGGGAGGCUCAGGUAGGAAGGUCUGAAGUUCAAGCCAGUCUGAG